AAUAGAUACCCAGGUAGUCCACGCCGUAAACGGUGGGCGCUAGGUGUGGGGGACUUUCCACGUCCUCUGUGCCGCAGCUAACGCAUUAAGCGCCCCGCCUGGGGAGUACGGCCGCAAGGCUAAAACUCAAAGGAAUUGACGGGGGCCCGCACAAGCGGCGGAGCAUGUGGCUUAAUUCGACGCAACGCGAAGAACCUUACCAAGGCUUGACAUGCAGAGAAAUCUCGUAGAGAUACGGGGUCCGCAAGGGCUUUGCACAGGUGGUGCAUGGUUGUCGUCAGCUCGUGUCGUGAGAUGUUGGGUUAAGUCCCGCAACGAGCGCAACCCUUGUCCUAUGUUACCAGCGAGUAAUGUCGGGGGCUCAUAGGAGACUGCCGGGGUCAACUCGGAGGAAGGUGGGGAUGACGUCAAAUCAUCAUGCCCCUUAUGUCUUGGGCUGCACACAUGCUACAAUGGUCGGUACAAAGGGCUGCGAGACCGCAAGGUGGAGCGAAUCCCAAAAAGCCGGCCUCAGUUCGGAUUAGGGU
This 527-nucleotide ribosomal RNA is filed under the name uncultured bacterium. Its description in RNAcentral is "bacterial SSU rRNA". It matches the Rfam family "Bacterial small subunit ribosomal RNA", at positions 777 to 1304 of the family's 1533-position model. The record is from RNAcentral.